GUACACUCCUGCGGGAGGCAGCAGUGGGGAAUAUUGGACAAUGGGCGCAAGCCUGAUCCAGCCAUGCCGCGUGAGUGAUGAAGGCCCUAGGGUUGUAAAGCUCUUUCACCGGUGAAGAUAAUGACGGUAACCGGAGAAGAAGCCCCGGCUAACUUCGUGCCAGCAGCCGCGGUAAUACGAAGGGGGCUAGAGUUGUUCGGAUUUACUGGGCGUAAAGCGCACGUAGGCGGACUAUUAAGUCAGGGGUGAAAUCCCGGGGCUCAACCCCGGAACUGCCUUUGAUACUGGUAGUCUUGAGUUCGAGAGAGGUGAGUGGAAUUCCGAGUGUAGAGGUGAAAUUCGUAGAUAUUCGGAGGAACACCAGUGGCGAAGGCGGCUCACUGGCUCGAUACUGACGCUGAGGUGCGAAAGCGUGGGGAGCAAACAGGAUUAGAAACCCCGGUAGUCCCAUG
Molecule: ribosomal RNA, 452 nt
Filed under: uncultured organism
Description: partial 16S ribosomal RNA
Rfam family: Bacterial small subunit ribosomal RNA
Source: RNAcentral